UAUGAAGGAGGAGCUUGAGUAAGAUGGUAACCUGCAAAUUCAAAUAGAAAUCCCCAAUGAUGCUAAUUGUUCAGGAGAGUCAAGCCCUUCAAAAGCAGAAGAAUUUAUUUCAUAUCUAUAGCUCUAUUGAAAUCCCUGUAGGCAAUUCACUUCUUUCUCAGGAUGGCUUACACUCAAGUGUUCUUCACCCACACCCUUCUCUUCUGUCCCUUCCUUAACACUUUGUCCUUUUUGGAUUUUUAAUGUAUUGUCAGUAGAAACAGCUUUGGCUCUACCACUAGAGAAAAUAACCUUACUCUUAUUGUAGUGUCCUGACAUAGACAACUGAGCUUGACUGUCCUGCCAGGAGAACUUCAGAGUUACCUGGAAAUUUCUCAGGUUUGAACCUGGAAUUUUGAAGGUUUCAUUUUGAAAGUUUUUUUACCGUAUUUUUUGAUGAGGAAUAUCCAUAUUAUAUUACAGAUUCUAUUCUUACUGUAAAGUUACUAAAAUUCCACCUGUGUAGUAAAAGCUUUGUAGAAAACACAUUGGUACUUCCUUAUUCCUGAGAAAACUCCUUAUGUAAGAGUAAUUGACAUUUUACCAAAUAUUUGAGAAACCCAAAGUUAUUUAUUCUUUGGUGAUAUAUUUUCAGGAUAUACCUAGAAGGAAUUAAAUGUAAUCUUUGAAAUUGUGUAUAUUUUGCUAUUUAUUUUUAAAUUCCUUAAGAGACUCUACUACUGAAAAAGCUAUUUAUGAAAGAAAAAAAAAUGCUUAUCUUUAAUUUCAAUAUUUAAACUGAAAAGAGGAAAAAUGGGCAGUGUUAAGCAAAAUUUUAACUUCUCUACUGUAGGAUGCCUGCAAAUCAUCAAGUCUGCCUGUGGUAGGACAGGAAAAAAACAUACAGCAUGAAUUAGUCUUUGACUUGAAUUAUUAUUGUAUACUUCCUGCUAAUUGAUUUUUACCAAAGAGAGAAGAUGGCUUACAAUAUUGCUUUUUUGCACUUGUGCCUGUGUAAUUUCCUCUUUCAUUGUAGUGUUACAUGGGUUGUACAUUACAUAUAAAUGAUUAACUGAAUUUUUUACUUCUGUUAUCAUUUGCUUUGAUCAUGUUGCAGAACUGUUCAGAUUUUAACUACUGCUACCACUGUUACUACUGACUCUAUUCUUGAAGGAGUUUUAAUAAACGUACUGUAAUUGGUGUCUCAGUUAUGAGAUGCAGCCAAUCUAUUCUUGAAAUGUAGAUGUUUGGUCGGUUACUGUGCACAACUAUUUUUGAUGUAUGUGGCAGGCUCUAGCUAAGGAAAUCUAAAAAGUUAAAAUGUAGAAUAUGCUGUUGUUCUGUUACAUUAUUAUUCUGUGCGAGAUAGGCUCAAGACCAUACUAAGAUAUAAACUGAAUAUUGUCUGUAAAAUUAUAUUUUUAGAUGUGUAUUUUAUAGAUCUGAAAUAAAUUGACAUGUUCUAUUC
Molecule: long non-coding RNA, 1447 nt
Filed under: Strigops habroptila (Kakapo)
Lineage: Eukaryota; Metazoa; Chordata; Aves; Psittaciformes; Psittacidae
Description: lncRNA (ENSSHBG00005011585.1)
Source: RNAcentral